This 307-nucleotide unclassified non-coding RNA is filed under the name plant metagenome. Its description in RNAcentral is "partial contains 5.8S ribosomal RNA, internal transcribed spacer 2, and large subunit ribosomal RNA". The stretch from base 1 to 105 matches the Rfam family "5.8S ribosomal RNA", at positions 50 to 154 of the family's 154-position model. The record is from RNAcentral.
GAAAUGCGUAAAGUAAUGUGAAUUGCAGAAUUCAGUGAAUCAUCGAAUCUUUGAACGCACAUUGCGCCCGCCAGUAUUCUGGCGGGCAUGCCUGUCCGAGCGUCAUUUCAACCAUCAAGCCCCCGGGCUUGUGUUGGGGACCUGCGGCUGCCCGCAGGCCCUGAAAACCAGUGGCGGGCUCGCUGUCACACCGAGCGUAGUAGCAAUCACCUCGCUCAGGGCGUGCUGCGGGUUCCGGCCGUUAAACAGCCUUACAAAACCCAAGGUUGACCUCGGAUCAGGUAGGAAGACCCGCUGAACUUAAGCA